RNAcentral lists this ribosomal RNA (253 nucleotides) under uncultured bacterium. RNAcentral's name for it is "partial 16S ribosomal RNA". It matches the Rfam family "Bacterial small subunit ribosomal RNA", at positions 524 to 776 of the family's 1533-position model. The record is from RNAcentral.
UACGUAGGGGGCAAGCGUUGUCCGGAUUUAUUGGGCGUAAAGAGCGUGUAGGCGGCCAGGCAGGUCCGCUGUGAAAACUCGAGGCUCAACCUCGAGAGGUCGGUGGAAACCGUCUGGCUAGAGUCCGGAAGAGGAGAGUGGAAUUCCCGGUGUAGCGGUGAAAUGCGCAGAUAUCGGGAAGAACACCCGUGGCGAAGGCGGCCAACUGGACGGUGACUGACACUGAGACGCGAAAGCGUGGGGAGCAAACAGG